AACGAACGCUGGCGGCAUGCCUAACACAUGCAAGUCGAACGAGACCUUCGGGUCUAGUGGCGCACGGGUGCGUAACGCGUGGGAACCUGCCCUUAGGUUCGGAAUAACUCCCCGAAAGGGGUGCUAAUACCGGAUAAUGUCUUCGGACCAAAGAUUUAUCGCCUUUGGAUGGGCCCGCGUUGGAUUAGCUAGUUGGUAGGGUAAAAGCCUACCAAGGCGACGAUCCAUAGCUGGUCUGAGAGGAUGAUCAGCCACACUGGGACUGAGACACGGCCCAGACUCCUACGGGAGGCAGCAGUGGGGAAUAUUGGACAAGGGGCGAAAGCCUGAUCCAGCAAUGCCGCGUGAGUGAUGAAGGCCUUAGGGUUGUAAAGCUCUUUUACCCGGGAUGAUAAUGACAGUACCGGGGGAAUAAGCUCCGGCUAACUCCGU
Molecule: ribosomal RNA, 432 nt
Filed under: uncultured bacterium
Lineage: Bacteria
Description: partial 16S ribosomal RNA
Rfam family: Bacterial small subunit ribosomal RNA
Source: RNAcentral